CGGGCGGCGGGGAGCGGGCGGGGGCCCGGCGGGCUCCGGGCCGGCCGUGGAUGAGCACCAUGCGGCUGCUGCUGCUCGCCCUGCUCUUCUCCUCCUCCUUCGCCCGCGCCGGCUGCGACCCCAAGAUCGUCAACAUCGGCGCGGUGCUGAGCACCAAGAAGCACGAGCAGAUCUUCCGCGAGGCGGUGAACCAGGCCAACAAGCGGCACGGCACCUGGAAGCUGCAGCUCAACGCCACCUCGGUCACGCACAAGCCCAACGCCAUCCAGAUGGCCCUCUCCGUCUGCGAGGACCUCAUCUCCAGCCAGGUCUAUGCAAUAUUAGUUAGUCACCCUCCUGCUCCCAACGAUCACCUAACACCAACACCUGUAUCAUACACAGCUGGCUUCUACAGGAUCCCUGUCAUUGGUCUGACAACACGCAUGUCUAUAUAUUCUGAUAAGAGCAUCCACCUGUCCUUUUUGCGCACGGUCCCACCAUACUCUCACCAGGCCAACGUCUGGUUUGAGAUGAUGAGAGUCUUCAACUGGAAUCACGUCAUUCUGAUAGUCAGCGACGACCACGAAGGUCGUGCUGCACAAAAGAAGCUGGAGACCCUCUUGGAGGAGAGAGAGUCCAAGAGUAAAAAAAGGAACUAUGAAAACCUCGACCAACUUUCCUAUGACAACAAGCGAGGACCCAAGGCUGAGAAAGUGCUUCAGUUUGACCCCGGGACCAAAAAUGUGACGUCGCUGCUGCUGGAGGCUAAGGAGCUGGAGGCUCGCGUCAUCAUCCUCUCUGCCAGCGAGGAUGAUGCGGCAACGGUGUACAGAUCAGCAGCCAUGCUCAAUAUGACGGGCUCCGGCUACGUGUGGCUGGUGGGGGAACGGGAGAUCUCGGGCAAUGCCCUGCGCUACGCCCCUGAUGGAGUCAUCGGCUUGCAGCUCAUCAAUGGGAAGAACGAGUCAGCCCACAUCAGCGACGCUGUCGCGGUGGUGGCCCAGGCCGUGCAUGACCUGUUUGAAAAGGAGAACAUCACCGACCCGCCGCGGGGCUGCGUGGGCAACACCAACAUCUGGAAGACGGGGCCUCUUUUCAAGAGGGUGUUAAUGUCCUCCAAGUACUCGGAGGGCGUCACCGGCCGGGUAGAAUUCAAUGAGGAUGGGGACAGGAAGUUUGCCAACUACAGCAUCAUGAACCUGCAGAACCGCAAACUGGUCCAGGUUGGGAUUUACAACGGAAGCCAUGUCUUGACCAAUGACCGGAAGAUUAUCUGGCCAGGGGGAGAAACUGAGAAACCUCAGGGCUAUCAGAUGUCGACCAAAUUGAAGAUUGUGACGAUCCACCAAGAGCCCUUUGUGUAUGUGAAGCCCACGCAAGCAGAUGGGACAUGCAGGGAGGAGUUCACCAUCAACGGUGACCCUGUCAAAAAGGUCUUCUGCACGGGGCCCAACGAGACCAUCCCAGGCCGCCCCACGGUGGCACUGUGUUGUUACGGCUUCUGCAUCGACCUGCUCAUCCGCCUGGCGGGGGUGAUGAACUUCACCUACGAGGUUCACCUGGUGGCUGAUGGUAAAUUUGGUACCCAAGAGCGGGUAAACAACAGCAACAAGAAGGAGUGGAACGGGAUGAUGGGCGAGCUGCUGAGCGGGCAGGCGGACAUGAUUGUGGCUCCCCUCACCAUCAACAACGAGCGGGCACAGUACAUCGAGUUCUCCAAGCCCUUCAAGUACCAGGGUCUGACCAUCCUCGUGAAGAAGGAAAUCCCCCGCAGCACGCUGGACUCAUUCAUGCAGCCCUUCCAGAGCACGCUUUGGCUGCUGGUGGGGCUGUCUGUGCAUGUGGUGGCGGUGAUGUUGUACCUCUUAGACCGAUUCAGCCCAUUUGGCCGCUUCAAAGUGAACAGCGAGGAGGAGGAAGAAGAUGCCCUGACACUCUCCUCGGCCAUGUGGUUCUCCUGGGGAGUCCUGCUGAACUCUGGCAUCGGAGAAGGUGCUCCCCGGAGUUUCUCUGCUCGUAUUCUUGGCAUGGUGUGGGCUGGCUUUGCUAUGAUUAUUGUGGCUUCCUACACUGCCAACCUGGCUGCCUUCCUGGUGUUGGACCGACCUGAGGAGAGAAUUACAGGCAUCAACGACCCCCGGCUGCGCAACCCCUCCGAUAAGUUCAUUUAUGCCACGGUGAAGCAGAGCUCGGUGGACAUCUACUUCCGACGGCAGGUGGAGCUGAGCACCAUGUACCGGCACAUGGAGAAGCACAACUACGAGAGCGCUGCCGAAGCCAUCCAGGCUGUGCGGGACAACAAGCUCCAUGCCUUCAUCUGGGACUCGGCGGUGCUGGAGUUUGAAGCCUCCCAGAAGUGUGACCUGGUGACGACGGGGGAGCUUUUCUUCCGCUCCGGCUUUGGGAUUGGGAUGCGCAAGGACAGCCCGUGGAAGCAGAACGUCUCCCUGGCCAUCCUCAAGUCCCACGAGAACGGCUUCAUGGAGGAUUUGGACAAGACUUGGGUGAGGUAUCAGGAGUGUGAUUCCCGUAGCAAUGCCCCAGCAACACUCACCUUUGAAAAUAUGGCAGGUGUGUUUAUGCUGGUGGCUGGAGGUAUUGUUGCCGGGAUAUUUUUAAUAUUCAUAGAAAUAGCUUACAAAAGGCAUAAGGACGCGCGGAGGAAGCAGAUGCAGCUGGCGUUUGCGGCCGUUAAUGUGUGGAGGAAAAACCUGCAGAGAGAACUGAGAAGGAGGAGCAAAUGUAUCCCCGAGCAUGCUCUACGCACCAGCGGGAUACAUUUUGGUUACCCCCGUGCGGUAGCAGAGCCAGACCUGGUCACUCCGUCCCCCGUCGGCAAGGUCACACUCAUUGGCACGAAAGCAAUUGGGGAGGAAUCGUUGUCAGCGCCCGCCGCCGAGCGCGGCCGGUCCCCACGGCUCGCUGCCCCCGCACCGUGGCGGCUGGUGCUCCCAGCCUGCGCCAACCAGGAUAGAAAAAGUGGUAGAGCAGAACCUGACCCUAAAAAGAAAGCCACUUUUAGGUCCAUCACCUCCACCCUGGCCUCCAGCUUCAAGAGACGUAGGUCCUCCAAGGAUACGCCCUGCAGAAUGGUCCCUCAGGAGUGCCAGAGAGACAGGCUGGCACCAUGGAGCCAAGACAGCCCUGGGAAGCUGCCACCCCACUCUGAACGUCCUAGCGCCCACCAUCACCCGAGCUGCACAGCCUCUCCGCGGCACAUCAUCCCCACCGCCCCAGGAGGAGAUGCAUGUGUUCCCCAUAGGCAGCUCCUGCAACUCGAAUAGCACUCGCAGAGCUGACGUACUGCCAUCCAUCGCAGCCACCCACGCUACUGCAACCCCACAGAAGCCAUGUGAGACGCAUAAACCACACAGACACCUUCCAAGUCGGCACAUUUCGUACAGACACGUAACGAGACGCACAGAUCCCUUAGCCCCCACUGCAGACGUCAUCAGCCCCCGCAGCCCCACUGCCAGCCCGCGGGCCCCCAGACACAGCACGACACACGUCCCACGUCACCGCCAAGCGAGGGCCCCGCCAGCAUGGGGACGAUGCCAGAGCUGGUCGAGAAUCGAGGGGGUUCAUGGAAAAGGUCACCUUUUCAGUGAAAGAUCAGCCAUUCCAAAAUCAAGUGCUUUUUGGCUGAAAAAGAACCUAGUUUUUGGCCCCAAACGAACAAAUGUAGGCCAAAGACAACUAUAUUUUUUUUUUAAAGGAAAGUUGACAUUUUCUACAGCAAGAUUGCAUUUAGCUGGAAUCCUAAUACUUAACUGAAAAAAAAAAAAAAAAAGAAACCCAAAAUUCUUCCAGAAAAUCUUCCACCAGCCAGGGACUACCAUACGAGCCCAGAUUAGGUUGAAGUCAUUUUUAAAGACAUAUUAAGUUCUUGUCUAUAUUUUCUUCCUGGUGUCAUUUAAAGUUUUUGGUGCCUUCACUUCACUUCCAUACCUUAACAUGUUUGAGUCUCUUCUACGCAAUACCAUCCCACCGACAUCACUGGCCAGCUCAACCUCUCCGACCCCUCUGUCAGCACUGUGGUGUGACCUGCUCCCCGGGGGCCAUCAGCCCUUGCCCGACACAGCGGGAAGGCACAGCCAGGACUGCCUGUCAAGGGACACUGAUGGGUUCUUCUGGGUGAGACGGGAGGAAAGCAUCCUUCAUCCAUACACAGUGACUUCAUUAUAUAUCUCCCUCCCUCCCUAGGCCUGCUGCCAUACUCACGCCCCAAAACGCACGGUGGAACCAGGACAGGGUUUGGACUUCACUGUACAGAGAUAAUCGCUUCCAACCAGUGCUGUUGUUGAUCAGUAUUGCCACUGGCCAGCUACGUGCAAGGGGAAAGGACUUCGAAGGCAUGUGGUGUCUGCUCUCCCACAGUAGCAGGGAAGAGCUGGUGCCAGACUGCAAACCUGUGCUUCACCUUGCAGGCUCCGUGUUCUCCGCACGUGUGUGGCUCUCGGAGCACCCGGAGCUGUGCUGGUGGAGCAGCCUGUGUAGUUCGGCAGCCCAGGGAUGUGCUUCUGCCGUGCCAUGCUCCACCACCACCACAGCAGGGCUGGGAGACGUGCGCUCUGCUCUUGGCCAAGGGAUGAGCCCCCCCGGUCCUCCCCUCCAUCAGCCUAUGGUACAACUGAACGUGGUGCUUACAGCACGCGGUCAGACAAGAUCCUGGCUCCCCAUAUCUCUGCACACCAGCUGUCCCCAAGGCCUGGCCACGGCCAGCACGUAGCUCCCACACUGCAGCCAUCCUGGCCAGGAGACACAGCAAAACAGGUCCUGGCUCAGGAGGAGGCGACCAAACAAGACUGCCUGGAGCCCUCCUCCUGUGGGCACUGUGCCCGCGUGCCAGCCCCCCAAGCUCCCUCCAGGCAAGCACCGUGAGUGGCUGUGGACACCCCAGAGCUGGGGAGCAGAAAUCCUGCCUGCAAUUUGGUACCAGGCCCCAGCAUCGAGAACCGCCUUCUCCUUGCCCCAGCCAAGCAGAGGGGGCAGACGGGGCCAGCAGGAUUUUCGGAGGGCAGCUGGGGUCUGAGAGCAUCGUCCCACUGGCUGCAGUGGUUCCAUCAAGUUCAUCUUGCUCCAGCUGAGAAAUCGAGCCCAUUCGACUUUAUACGUCAGUGUAACAUUAAUACCAAGUUUUUGCAAGAGCUCAGUAAAGUCUAGACUGGAUCACGGGCUGGUUUUAUUGCCUCUGUCUGUCUCUGCCUGCCG
Molecule: RNA transcript, 5190 nt
Organism: Cygnus olor (mute swan)
Lineage: Eukaryota; Metazoa; Chordata; Aves; Anseriformes; Anatidae
Gene: GRIN1
Gene name: glutamate ionotropic receptor NMDA type subunit 1
Exons: 23
Source: RefSeq, a predicted model, not a curated record